RNAcentral lists this ribosomal RNA (455 nucleotides) under uncultured bacterium. Its description in RNAcentral is "bacterial SSU rRNA". It matches the Rfam family "Bacterial small subunit ribosomal RNA", at positions 57 to 507 of the family's 1533-position model. The record is from RNAcentral.
GCAAGUCGAACGGCAGCACGGGAGCAAUCCUGGUGGCGAGUGGCGAACGGGUGAGUAAUAUAUCGGAACGUGCCCAGUCGUGGGGGAUAACGUAGCGAAAGCUACGCUAAUACCGCAUACGAUCUAUGGAUGAAAGCGGGGGAUCGCAAGACCUCGCGCGAUUGGAGCGGCCGAUAUCAGAUUAGGUAGUUGGUGAGGUAAAGGCUCACCAAGCCGACGAUCUGUAGCUGGUCUGAGAGGACGACCAGCCACACUGGGACUGAGACACGGCCCAGACUCCUACGGGAGGCAGCAGUGGGGAAUUUUGGACAAUGGGCGCAAGCCUGAUCCAGCAAUGCCGCGUGCAGGAUGAAGGCCUUCGGGUUGUAAACUGCUUUUGUACGGAACGAAACGGUGAGCUCUAAUACAAUUUGCUAAUGACGGUACCGUAAGAAUAAGCACCGGCUAACUACGUG